UAUUAUUAAGUAAAAGGUUUACAUAAAUUUUUGAAAUUUAAUCAAUAAGUUCAAUUCUUAUAAUAAUAU
Molecule: transfer RNA, 69 nt
Filed under: Hirudo medicinalis (medicinal leech)
Lineage: Eukaryota; Metazoa; Annelida; Clitellata; Hirudinida; Hirudinidae
Description: tRNA-Gln
Source: RNAcentral